This 414-nucleotide ribosomal RNA is filed under the name uncultured eukaryote. RNAcentral's name for it is "bacterial SSU rRNA". It matches the Rfam family "Eukaryotic small subunit ribosomal RNA", at positions 592 to 1011 of the family's 1831-position model. The record is from RNAcentral.
CAAUAGCGUAUAUUAAAGUUGUUGCGGUUAAAAAGCUCGUAGUUGGAUUUCUGUUGAAAAGAGCCGGUCCGCCUUUCGGGUGAGUAUCUGGAUUCGUUUCGGCAUCCUCUCGGAAUAUGCUCUGCGCUUUGUUGCGUGGUGUUUAGUUCGAGACUUUUACUUUGAGGAAAUUAGAGUGUUCACGGCAGGCAGACGCCUUGAAUAUAUUAGCAUGGAAUAAUAGAAUAGGACUUUGGUUCUAUUUUGUUGGUUUCUAGGACCGAAGUAAUGAUUAAUAGGGACAGUUGGGGGCAUUAGUAUUUAAUUGUCAGAGGUGAAAUUCUUGGAUUUAUGAAAGACUAACUACUGCGAAAGCAUUUGCCAAGGAUGUUUUCAUUAAUCAAGAACGAAAGUUAGGGGAUCGAAGAUGAUCAG